Molecule: non-coding RNA, 1039 nt
Organism: Pelodiscus sinensis (Chinese soft-shelled turtle)
Lineage: Eukaryota; Metazoa; Chordata; Testudines; Trionychidae
Source: RefSeq, a predicted model, not a curated record
UAUGGGCUACAGAGAGGAUAAUCAAGCUAGCCAGUGUGGCAAAUUCAUUUGUAUUAUGACCAAGUGAGGGAAACCUGUGUGCUGUUUCCAGCUCUACCUGAAGAGGUCUUGUGCAAUUGCUCAGUUAUUUAUAAAAUGGAGGAAAUGGUUGUCUGUUCCAGUGGUAGAGGAUAUGACUCUGUGAUCAAUAAUAAUUGUGAAGCAUGUUAGAAAUAUUACAGCACUCAUUAAAAGAGUUCAGACAAGGGCCAGGGAUUUCCUGACUCCCAGCCCUGGAUAUCUUCCCCCAGGGUAAGGCAUAUUCUAUAGAGGACAGUCUCUCUUUAUACAAUCCAUGAGAUUUUAUUUGAGAUAUAAACAAGUGUGACAGAGCUGCCAAAUGUGUUAGUUUGACAUGAGAUACACAACACUUGGCAAGUCUGAUAAAAGAUUGUGAUAUGAACAAUUUAAUGGCAUGCAUAUGUGGUACCACAACUGAGAAAUUCACAGCUUUAAUUCUCUCCAAGUACUAAUCACUAUGUAUGCCAGCUGGCAGCCGUUAAUGGGAGCUUCAUCUUACCAAUUAGCCAUGUCUUGUGAAUGGUCUAGCUGUGUGUGUCCUCAAAGCAAACUGUGAGGGUAUCUGGCCAUCAUCUCUACCAGGGGCCAAAAAGGAAAACAGGAUGUGCCUGGAAUUAGUUUGUUUUCCAUUUGAAGGGAGGGGACUGAUCAGAGGGUUGCGAUACUGCACAGUCACCUCUAGGGGCAGUGAGCGUGGGGAAUAGCUAUACAGCAGAGUAACCAUAACCACUGGGGGCAGCUGCACCAGGAAGGGAGAGGCCACCUGGGGACCAUACUCACCAUCUUGCCAGCCAUCAACCCAGACUGAAGUAAUCUUUUGAAUGCUUUUGCUGUUUUCUGGCUGGACCUUGAUCUUCUAUCUAAGCCGGAACAGCUGCAAGAUGGGGGAGGUCGACACCACCUGGGACAGGCUCCUGGACCCGAGGCAUCUGCAGGUGCCACUGACUCAUGGAUGAGUUCCAGAGGCAACACCUGGCGG